RNAcentral lists this ribosomal RNA (477 nucleotides) under uncultured organism. Its description in RNAcentral is "partial 16S ribosomal RNA". It matches the Rfam family "Bacterial small subunit ribosomal RNA", at positions 333 to 801 of the family's 1533-position model. The record is from RNAcentral.
ACACUCCUGCGGGAGGCAGCAGUGGGGAAUUUUGGACAAUGGGCGAAAGCCUGAUCCAGCCAUGCCGCGUGCAGGAUGAAGGCCUUCGGGUUGUAAACUGCUUUUGUACGGAACGAAACGGCCUUUUCUAAUAAAGAGGGCUAAUGACGGUACCGUAAGAAUAAGCACCGGCUAACUACGUGCCAGCAGCCGCGGUAAUACGUAGGGUGCAAGCGUUAAUCGGAAUUACUGGGCGUAAAGCGUGCGCAGGCGGUUAUGUAAGACAGUUGUGAAAUCCCCGGGCUCAACCUGGGAACUGCAUCUGUGACUGCAUAGCUAGAGUACGGUAGAGGGGGAUGGAAUUCCGCGUGUAGCAGUGAAAUGCGUAGAUAUGCGGAGGAACACCGAUGGCGAAGGCAAUCCCCUGGACCUGUACUGACGCUCAUGCACGAAAGCGUGGGGAGCAAACAGGAUUAGAAACCCUUGUAGUCCCAUGAU